UAGUAUUUUUCCUCUUGUUUC
RNAcentral lists this non-coding RNA (21 nucleotides) under Caenorhabditis elegans. The record is from RNAcentral. Lineage: Eukaryota; Metazoa; Nematoda; Chromadorea; Rhabditida; Rhabditidae.